UGAUCAGCCAUGCCGCGUGAGUGAGAGGCCUUAUGGUCGUAAGCUCUUUCCCCUGUGUUGAUAAUGACAGUACAGGUAAAGAAACCCCGGCUAACUCCGUGCCAGCACCCGCGGUAAUACUCCGGGGGUUAGGGUUGUUCGGAAUUACUGGGCGUAAAGCGAACGUAAGCGGAUUGCCGUGUUGGGGGUGAAAUCCCGGGGCUCAACCCCGGAACUGCCUCGGAACUGUCAGUCUAAAGUUCGAGAGAGGUGAGUGGAAUUCCAAGUGUAGAGGUGAAAUUCAUAUAUAUUUGGAGGAACACCAUUGGCGAAGGCGGCUCACUGGCUCGAUACUGACGCUGAGGUGCGAAAGUGUGGGGAGCAAACAGGAUUAAAUACCCUGGUAGUCCACACCAUAAACUAUGAAUGCCAUCCGUCGGGUAGUAUACUGCUCGGUGACGCACCUAACGGAUUAAGCAUUCCGCCUGGGGAGUACGGUCGCAAGAAUAAAACU
RNAcentral lists this ribosomal RNA (493 nucleotides) under uncultured bacterium. RNAcentral describes it as "bacterial SSU rRNA". It matches the Rfam family "Bacterial small subunit ribosomal RNA", at positions 384 to 901 of the family's 1533-position model. The record is from RNAcentral.